UACGUAGGUGGCGAGCGUUGUCCGGAUUUACUGGGCGUAAAGCGCGCGCAGGCGGACUGCUCAGUCUGGGGUGAAAUCUCACGGCUCAACUGUGAGCGGUCCCUGGAUACUGUCAGUCUUGAGAUGUCUAGAGGAGAGCGGAAUUCCCGGUGUAGUGGUGGAAUGCGUAGAUAUCGGGAAGAACACCAGUGGCGAAAGCGGCACUCUGGGGACCAUCUGACGCUGAGGCGCGAAAGCGUGGGGAGCGAACAGG
RNAcentral lists this ribosomal RNA (253 nucleotides) under uncultured bacterium. RNAcentral describes it as "partial 16S ribosomal RNA". It matches the Rfam family "Bacterial small subunit ribosomal RNA", at positions 524 to 776 of the family's 1533-position model. The record is from RNAcentral.